GUUCACUACGGAAAUCUGCUGUGAAGCUCUCAGUUCAGUGAAAUCUGUCAAGUCCAGCAACAAUGAAACUCUUUUCAGUGUUUAUGGCUGGUCUGGUGCUCAUUGGACUAAGUCUUGCUCUUCCAGUCCAAGAGGAAGACGCCAGGGUCAAACGCUCCAGCAGCAAUGAAG
Molecule: long non-coding RNA, 171 nt
Organism: Periophthalmus magnuspinnatus
Lineage: Eukaryota; Metazoa; Chordata; Actinopteri; Gobiiformes; Gobiidae
Exons: 3
Source: RefSeq, a predicted model, not a curated record